RNAcentral lists this ribosomal RNA (306 nucleotides) under uncultured bacterium. RNAcentral describes it as "bacterial SSU rRNA". It matches the Rfam family "Bacterial small subunit ribosomal RNA", at positions 332 to 655 of the family's 1533-position model. The record is from RNAcentral.
CAGACUCCUACGGGAGGCAGCAGUGGGGAAUAUUGGACAAUGGGCGAAAGCCUGAUCCAGCAAUGCCGCGUGAGUGAUGAAGGCCUUAGGGUUGUAAAGCUCUUUUACCCGGGAUGAUAAUGACAGUACCGGGAGAAUAAGCCCCGGCUAACUCCGUGCCAGCAGCCGCGGUAAUACGGAGGGGGCUAGCGUUGUUCGGAAUUACUGGGCGUAAAGCGCACGUAGGCGGCUUUGUAAGUUAGAGGUGAAAGCCCGGGGCUCAACUCCGGAACUGCCUUUAAGACUGCAUCGCUUGAAUCCGGGAGA